Marmota monax (woodchuck) is the source of this 4242-nucleotide long non-coding RNA. RefSeq lists it as uncharacterized. The transcript has 3 exons. The record is from RefSeq and is a predicted model, not a curated record. Lineage: Eukaryota; Metazoa; Chordata; Mammalia; Rodentia; Sciuridae.
GAGAGAGGCUAGGAAGAGAGGCCAGCUGCUUUUCACAGACGGGUCUGGCUGCUCUGCAAGGGGAUUUUGCUAGGAGAGGCAGCAGAGGAAGCAGGUGCAGGGGGUGGUGUGAGGAGGUCCGUUGUAGUUUGUUUGGUUUUAAGGCUGGAGAAAUCAACAUGGCCAGAUGCCGGAUGCCAUCAAGGGUGGCCUGGGAAAGAAGGGAAGUGGGUGGUACCGGAAGGGAAGCGGGAAGCGCUGCUGGAGCCUUAAGUGGGUGAAAGGGGCUGUCGUGUGAGGCUCCAGGGAGGGCUGGCCUUGAACGUGGAAGAAAGAAACAGGCCCAGAGAGGUAAGGUAGCUUGCCCAAGGUCACACAGCCAACCAGGAGCAGGACAAGGCCGUCACCUCCAGAUGCUAAGCCCUCACCUUCUUGGAACAGACUGACCAUGAGGCCAGCUGGGAUGUGGGCAUGUCCCCCGGGGCUCCCCAUGCCCUGGCAGCCUGUGGCUCAGAGGGAGGCUUGCCCGCUGUGGCACCAGGCACGACUGGGUCUCCCCUCCUGGUGUGCCCCCCUUGCCACCCAGCCUGCCCUCAGCCUGUGGACACCACAUGACUCGAGAGAGCCCCAGAAUUCCAGAGCUGGAGAGGACUCAAGAGUCCCCAGCUCCAGGGACAGAAUCCCCAGCGCACAUUGGGCUGUGCUGGUCCCACGGACCUCAACUGGACACUUGAGUUGAGAGCCAGGCCCCGGGCUGGGUCCUGCUGGGACGGAGGGGACCCAGGCGCGGCCCUGCCCUGGGUUUCCUUCUGCCGGAAGGAAGGAGGGCCCAGGUCCCCAGCCCCGGGUUGGGACGAGGUCCCAGGAGGGUGACCUGCAAAGACUGCCCUGUCCAGGGCUGGGGGGAGACCUGUGCCUCUCGCUCCUGGUCUGGGCUUGGCUGGUCACCGAGGGCCCUGCAGGGGACGUCGCCUGGUCUCUGCUGCAGUGUCAGGUGUGGCUUGGGGCUGGGGCUUCCCAUCAGGUCUACCGGUCUCCUGGUUUUAGUCACACUGUCCCCGGCUGGCUGCCUUCUUCCCACGGCGGAGGGUGGACCUGACAUCAAGGCCAGGCGCGGUGCUGAGCACCUGUCAUCCCAGCGACCCGGAGGCUGAGGCAGGAGGAUGGCAAGUCCCAGGCCAGCCUCAGCAGCUUGCAAGAACAGGCGUCCUGCCUGCUGGCGCCUGGGAGGACGCUCGGCAGCCGCUGGCCCUCACAGCUCGGGUGCUGGCUGGGUCUGGGGUGGAUUCCGUUUUCCAGGUGCUGGGAAGGGGACGGAGGACUGGGGACGGGCCUUGGAGGGACAGGCGCUCAUGGGCAUCAGACGCCUGCUGACCUUGACACCAACAGGCCCGGGGCGUGGGCAGGGCAUCUCCUGCCCUGCGGACCCUGUCCCAGCCUGCGGGAGGAGCCUGGCCUGCCCAGCGCAGUCCAGGGACCGCCCGGGGCCCAGGGCACCCUUCCGUGCCUUUCCUCCUUGGGUCUCCAGCUCAGCUCCCUGAACUGCCCCUUGGUCCCUGAUGUCCCUUCCCCACAGUCCUGACACCUCGCAGAUCCCCGGGGGAGUGGCAGUGUCACCUGUGACUGGGGUCUCCGCCAACAGUUUCUGGUGGGCCCUCUCCUCCCCCCCUCUGCACCCAUUGGCCAGUGUCCUGGGCAGGCAGAGGGGUCAGGGGGCACCGUGGCUGCCAGCUUAGCUCCCGCCUCGGAGGAGGUCCUCGGAGCCGACAGAGGGACUGGGGAGGAGGACGGUUCCACGGGGCCACCGCAGACCCCCCAACCCGCCUCUCGUUUCUCCCUAGAGACAACGGCCUGGGGGGGCCGUGGAGGCUGGGCCUCAACUUGAACUUGACUUCCUCUUCCACCCGGGCGCCUCCCUCCUGGGGCCUGGAAGGAACUGGGCUGGCCGUGAGCCCUUCCCGAGUGGCUAACCUUCCUUGAGGACAUCAGUUCCAGCCUCAGUUUAAAGAUGGCGGGUGACACACGCCCUGGAAUAUCAUUCAGGCUUAAAAAGGCGGGGGAUCCCGCCAUGAGGACACGGUUCCUUGAGCGGAGCCCAUCACAGGGGACACCCCUGCGGGAUCCCACUUCUCUGGGGAACCUGGGCACUAACUGCAGGAGACAGAAGUGUCACCCACAGGGUCAGGUGGUGCUCGGCGGAGUCACCUGCCCAAGGCUAACGGCUGCCCACAGCAGAGUCUGAACUUGAACCUCAGCGCAGGAUCCACCACUUCACGGGAAGUUGGGGAGAAGGACGCGGCAGGCCCCGAGGCACCACGGGCGGAGAGGGGCCCUGCAGGCCUGCACUGCCCCGGGCCUUGGGCUGGAGCACAGCGGCCACGUCCAUCCCACCUGUGGACGGGGGAUGGUGAGCAGCCUCGGGAGCAGGUGUCCCAGGGCUUGGAGGGAAGGGCUGAAUGCAGAGCAGGGCCCAUGGCAAUUCCCCCAGUGUGCUGUGACGGCGGGAAGGACGACACCUCGUGACUGCAUCUUGGGGGCUCCUGCAAGCAGGUAGCACAGGGUUUCAAGAGGAGACUGUGAGGGGGGCUGGGAUCUGGGAGACGUUACUGCCUGAAGGGACAGUCUGGAGGGAAGAUGUCUAAGCGCUUCUAAGAAUUUGCAACUAGACUGCGUGACUGGAGUGUAGGAGUGAAAACAGUGAAUCAGUUCUUUGGGUUGCAAUGAUAGAAAGGCAGCUUUCAGAACUGGCCGGGCGUUGGGCUUCAGGUAGAGCUGGAUCCAGGUGCUCAAGGGAUGUCAUUUAUAUCCUUUCUUUCUUGUUCCAUCUUUCUCCUUCCACUUCACUUGUACUUACUGGCUUCACGCUGGGGUAGAGUCUGUCCACACCUCAGGGCUCCCCCCGCCCAUUUCAAUCUCAGUUUGCAAAGACCAUCUCUUUCCCAGGCUGACUCUGAUUGGCCCAGCUCCCGCGCCAACCCAGCCCUGAGCCGGGCAUGUGCUCAGGGUUGUGGUCCAGGCUGGGGCUUGGGGUCAGCUCUGCCUGGAGCGAAUGCUCUGACUUUGACAGUGGAGUCAGGGAAGUCCCUUCAAGGAAGACCAAGAAGUUUCCAGAAGAAGGGACAUGGACCCUGAGCCAGCAGAGGCCCAGAUGUCCCCUCCAGGUGGCCAGGGCUAGGGCUGCAGGGGCAGCUCUUCCGCUGACCGCACCCCACGCCCCCACCAGCCUCCCCUCGCUCACCCCUCCUUCCCGGACCCUCUGUGCACAGCCCUCUGCCUCCCUGGAGGGUGCAGUCCGCGCCCACAGAGGUGCCCGCCACACCUCCUGGCAGCCCAGCAUGCGCCGGCCCACCCCACCCCGCGGCGACUUCAUCACUGGGAUGAUCGCGAAGGUGGCCAGAGACACUGGGCCUCGGGCUGACCUGUCCUUCCCUGCUCCACCUCCCGCCCGCGCCGCCCUUGGCCACGGGGAGCACGGGCGUCCCUGCUCAGCUGACCUGGGUCAGGGUGGCGCCCACAGUCCCAGGCAGCCUCCCGGCCGUGCCAGGGCCACCAGAGAACAGGCCUGGCCCUGGCCCUGGUAAACGCUGUCAUUUGUUCAAAAUUGGAAGAGCCUGCCGGCCCCGGGUGACGUUAUCUGUGAUCACUGGGUCCCCGGGGUUUGGUCCAAGAUGCCAUCGGCGGGGGGAGCCCUAUGUCCUCUUCCCUUCUGGGCCCCACAUCCCCGGUCCCAAUGGCCGUCACUCCUGCCACCUCACUCCCCUCCGGUCCUGUCUGCAGGCAGAGGCCAAUGCCCUCAGGCAGAGGUGGCAUGUGAGGACAGGGGGCUGUAGAGGCAGCGAUGCUCUUUGGAAGUCAGGGAAGCAAGUCUUCGAGCAGCGGCCGGCAAGCCAGGAGGAAAGGCUCCCUGUAGGAACCAGGGGAUGGGCUUCCAGGCAAGGGAACAGCACGUGCAAUGGUCCUGAGGUGGGAGAGUGGUUGGUACAUUGGGAGCACUGAGCAGAGGGGACCACAGCAAGGCUAGUGACCAGGGAAAGUGAUCAAAAUAAGUCUUGACGUGUGGCCACAGUAGGAUCAUUGGGGCCCUGCUGGGCACGAGGCUGAAUGAGGCAUGAUGGGAAAUCAGUGGUGGUGUCACGCUGCAGUUGGACACGAUCUGAUCAGCAGGAUCCAAGUCAGCAGGAUCACUGAAGGCUGGGCAGAGUGAAGGGUCAAGAGAAGCCGAGGCAGGCAGGGGCAGCUGCCCUGAUGGCCAUAGCCAGGUUG